This 492-nucleotide ribosomal RNA is filed under the name uncultured bacterium. Its description in RNAcentral is "partial 16S ribosomal RNA". It matches the Rfam family "Bacterial small subunit ribosomal RNA", at positions 29 to 507 of the family's 1533-position model. The record is from RNAcentral.
AGUGAACGCUGGCGGUAGGCCUAACACAUGCAAGUCGAACGGCAGCACAGUAAGAGCUUGCUCUUACGGGUGGCGAGUGGCGGACGGGUGAGGAAUACAUCGGAAUCUACUUUUUCGUGGGGGAUAACGUAGGGAAACUUACGCUAAUACCGCAUACGACCUACGGGUGAAAGCAGGGGAUCUUCGGACCUUGCGCGAUUGAAUGAGCCGAUGUCGGAUUAGCUAGUUGGCGGGGUAAAGGCCCACCAAGGCGACGAUCCGUAGCUGGUCUGAGAGGAUGAUCAGCCACACUGGAACUGAGACACGGUCCAGACUCCUACGGGAGGCAGCAGUGGGGAAUAUUGGACAAUGGGGGCGAGCCUGAUCCAGCCAUACCGCGUGGGUGAAGAAGGCCUUCGGGUUGUAAAGCCCUUUUGUUGGGAAAGAAAAGCAGCAGGUUAAUACCCCGCUGUUCUGACGGUACCCAAAGAAUAAGCACCGGCUAACUUCGUG